This 465-nucleotide ribosomal RNA is filed under the name uncultured bacterium. Its description in RNAcentral is "bacterial SSU rRNA". It matches the Rfam family "Bacterial small subunit ribosomal RNA", at positions 527 to 992 of the family's 1533-position model. The record is from RNAcentral.
GUAGGUCCCGAGCGUUGUCCGGAUUUAUUGGGCGUAAAGCGAGCGCAGGCGGUUAGAUAAGUCUGAAGUUAAAGGCUGUGGCUUAACCAUAGUAUGCUUUGGAAACUGUUUAACUUGAGUGCAGAAGGGGAGAGUGGAAUUCCAUGUGUAGCGGUGAAAUGCGUAGAUAUAUGGAGGAACACCGGUGGCGAAAGCGGCUCUCUGGUCUGUAACUGACGCUCAGGUGCGAAAGCGUGGGGAGCAAACAGGAUUAGAUACCCUGGUAGUCCACGCCGUAAACGAUGUCGACUUGGAGGUUGUGCCCUUGAGGCGUGGCUUCCGGAGCUAACGCGUUAAGUCGACCGCCUGGGGAGUACGGCCGCAAGGUUAAAACUCAAAUGAAUUGACGGGGGCCCGCACAAGCGGUGGAGCAUGUGGUUUAAUUCGAUGCAACGCGAAGAACCUUACCUACUCUUGACAUCCAGA